Poeciliopsis prolifica (blackstripe livebearer) is the source of this 261-nucleotide long non-coding RNA. RefSeq lists it as uncharacterized. The transcript has 3 exons. The record is from RefSeq and is a predicted model, not a curated record. NCBI's taxonomy places the organism in Eukaryota, Metazoa, Chordata, Actinopteri, Cyprinodontiformes, Poeciliidae.
AAAGAAAACCAAAAACCCUGGUUCCCAACACUUGGAACCAAUAGGAAUCGCACCAUGAAAUGUUGACUUCCAUCUUGGCAGAAGUGUGGCAUAAACGUCUGUUUGGAGUAGCACUCAGAAAAAACGUGUUUCACUGUGACAGCACAUCAAGCCUGAAUUGACUCUCCUGGAGCAGCCCUUGUCACACACAAGAGAUUUAUCUAAAGAGGCAUUCAAUAAGCUACUUGAGGCGAAGUUGAAGAACACAUCCCAAGCUUUUCG